Erinaceus europaeus (western European hedgehog) is the source of this 1091-nucleotide long non-coding RNA. RefSeq lists it as uncharacterized. The record is from RefSeq and is a predicted model, not a curated record. The transcript has 4 exons. NCBI's taxonomy places the organism in Eukaryota, Metazoa, Chordata, Mammalia, Eulipotyphla, Erinaceidae.
GCCUGAUGGGACUGAGCAGCUUGCAGGUUUGAGGUCCCUGGCUUCUCACUCAGAACCAGAGGCCCCAGCAAAUGUGACAACAGAUACCAUUCAGGGUCACUGCUCUGGUGUGGACACAAUGCUGAGACCUGACUCUGCACUGCCUCCACAGGCCCUUCAACUGACACCGUGAGACAUUCUGGCCCAGGACCAUCCAUGUAAAUCCCGGUAGAUGAUGACGAUGAUGACAAUGAUAGAAGCAUUCACUGUUCUCCACUUCUCUGCAGUCAUUCUAGAAGUCGACUGGGAAGAGGUUAUUAUCUCCAGGUGCUGAUUAUGAAAAGGAGGCAGAGGUAGGGAUCUGAAAACCUAGUCUCUGUAUCCUUGAGCUCCCCCUAACAAGGACAACAGGAGCAAUGGGUCUUUCCUACAAUUCUAAAAUCCUCAGUGCAGCCCUGGGAUCCACCAUGGUUCGCCUGCUUUGAUAGCUCAAGAAAUGAAGCCAGCAGUCUGACAUGCCACAGCUGGUGAGCAUCUGGAUAUGCUCACGUCAAGGCUGGUCUGACCUCAGGCUGAUUCACUGCUGGAGUCUCAUGAGGUGGGAAGAGGGGGCUGUCUCCCAGGACUUGAAGGUGAAGCUCAGCCUUGUCUGCAUGCCUUGCCGAGGACCCUUUGGCAGCAAAGAGCAUGCAGCCGAAACCCUGGGAUCAAAUAAACUUCCCAACCUGGAGAUAACAUGUUUGCUGCAUGGACCACAGACUGAAAACCAACUGGCCCGAUGCACAAAGCAAAGGAAUGAGCAGGAUGGUUCCAGAUGCUAGCAUGAUGCCAACCAGACUUCCCUGGACAGACAAUCCCACCAAUGUAUCUUGGAGCCCCACCUCCCCAGAGCCCUUCCCCACUAGAGAAAGAGAGAGACAGGCUGGGAGUAUGGAUCGACCUGCCAACGCCCAUGUUCAGCGGGGAAGCAAUUACAGAAGCCAAACCUUCCACCUUCUGCAUCCCACAAUGACCUUGGGUCCAUACUCCCAGAGGGAUAAAGAAUAGGAAAGCUACCAGGGGAGGGGAUGGGAUACGGAGUUCUGGUGGUGGGAACUGUGUGGAGUUGUACC